AGGGGCUUGCUCAGCUUACGAGGUCCUUGCUAUCGGAUGUAUCGACGCUCUUUACGCCUCGCUCGCCCGACCUGCUCCCGCCCACCGCCGUCGCUCGACCUCGAAAUCCAGCAGGACUUGCCGUUCAGCGACGUUACGCUCCGGUUUACAGGCGCCUCUCGAGCGUGCACAGCCGGCUUGCCUUUUCGGCGCCUUGCAAGACCUUUCGCCAAACCUCCU
This 219-nucleotide unclassified non-coding RNA is filed under the name Rhodotorula toruloides. Lineage: Eukaryota; Fungi; Basidiomycota; Microbotryomycetes; Sporidiobolales; Sporidiobolaceae. The record is from RNAcentral.